UUUCACGGAGGGGAUAGCAAGGAAAAUUUGUUGUGGUGUUCGGUGCGGUGAAAAAUAGCUGAUCUUCGCGGUCCGUUCUUCCUCUGAACUCUGUUUAACAAAGCGAUACGAGAUAAACGAGAGUUUCAAUGUAUUCAAAGUGUGCUUUCGGUGAAGCUCGUAAAUUGAUUUACGAAUAAACACGACGAAAUUAUUGCAAUUUACUGUUACGUUGCUGUUAACUCUUUGCAAAUCGAUUAUGUUUUUUUGGAGUGGUAAAAAUUAAAAUUAACGUUGAUAAAUUUAAGGAACCUCCAAAAGAUACUUAAUAGUUAUUAAGUAAAGCUAUCGCGUUAAAUUUGGAGAUUUCUGAAUUUUUAAUUUUGAAAAUAAGAUCGAGGUUAAAGGUGUGUAGGAAACAUCCAUAGAAAUUCUAAGCUGCAUUUCAAUAUAAAUGUAUUGACGUUGAACAUCAUUUGACAAUGAAGGUUCUCAAAAUAUCACAUUCGCACCUCGUUCUGUUUAAAAUAAAUUUUCCAUUGAAAUUUAAAUACAACCUUUUUUACCAAAAUAGAAGACCAUGACACUGCAUCAUGUCAGAUAUUUAGAAUAUUAGUACAUAAUCAGCCAUUUUGUUUUAAAAAUAUCAGAGGAGCAUUUAUGCAGUCAUUUUUAAUGAAGAUUAAGCUGUAAGUUGAUAUGGCAUAAGUGUUAUUUUGUGAUACUUUUAUGUCAUCAAAUCAGGUGAGAAGUUUUAUUCUUAAAAAUUGACAAUUUAGCAGAUGUUUCACUACAAUUCAAUUGGCAGACUUUUUUUUAAGGAGUAUUAAUGAAAUUUUGUUGUAGACAUUUUUAUUAAGUCUUGGACUCAAAGUUGAUGGUUCAUGGUCGCCAUUUUGUGUUACUUUUAUGUCAUCAAAUUAUGUGUGACUGUAUUUAGAAAUUAGUUAUUUGUUCUGUAGAGUCAGCCAUUUUGUUUGAAGAAUAAUAUAAUAGUCACUUUAGCUAUUUUCCUCAAAUAUUAGGGUUUAGACUGACAGCCAACAGGCGCCAUUUUGUGUUACUUUUAUGUCAUCAAAUAAUGUCUGACUGUAUUUAGAAAUCAGCUAUUUGUUCUGCAGAGUCAGCCACUUUGUUUGAAGAUUAAUAUAACAAUUAUUUUAGCCUGAAGAUUAAUAUAGUAAUUAUUUUAUUGUUUUAAAAUAGCUAUUUUCCUCAGAUAUUGAGCUUCAAAUUGACACUCAACAAUCGCCAUUUUGUGUUACUUUUAUGUCAUCAAAUAAUGUCUGACUGUAUUUAAAAAUUAGCUAAUUGUUCAAUACAGUCAGCCAUUUAAUUCACAGAUUAAUAAUAUAACAACUUAGUUAUUUUCCUCAAAUACUAAGUUUCAAACUAAUACUCAACACUUUAUUUCCAUGUCAUCAAAAUAAUUUCACCCGCAACUGAAAGGUUAAGUCAGACCACUUCCAUGAAACUACAUAUAUUUCUUCCGAAGCAAAUCAUGAUAACAUCAUAUGGCAACAGUGACGUAUAUCUGUCCAACGUGAUGCAACUUUCCUGCGAUAUCUAUACAUACAGAGUUACUUGUCAAUCGCUUUUUUUGGCCAACGCAAUCUGCUUUAUAAAAGAAGAGAGAAAAAAAGAAGUGAUCUCGUGUAAUGUUUUCAGGGUGUGACAACACGUAACCAUAGAACAGCAUGAUACAAUGUCACUGACACAGCAGAACACGAGAUACACUCGAAUGGCCUCGUUUGGAUUAUCAGCGCUAACUGGACCACGUGGCAAAUAAAAAGCUUCAAGGCUGCAUCGAAUUAAACAUUCUCCACCAUACACUCAUUUAUCGGGCAUGUGUGUUCUGACCGCGAGAUUUUCUACCGACAACCGCCCGUGAAAAUGUGAACCAGAUAUUCAACAUAUUUUCUUAUGUAAAUAUUUUCUUACGUUUCUACCUUCUGCACACGUGUUUCAAUUUCUCUUUAUCUGCAUGAUACGUUAUCGUGUAAGUUCGAGUAAAAACAUUGAUAGUAAUAUCAAGAUGCAACUUAUUCCAAAUGAAUACAUUGUUAACUGUUUAUCUUUUGUAUGUUUACAUAUUUUAAGUUUUUUACAGGUUACAAUCAUGUUACAUAUUCGAAAUAUUUUAGCAUGUUAGAUAUUUUAAAUAUUUUCGU
RNAcentral lists this long non-coding RNA (2150 nucleotides) under Megachile rotundata (alfalfa leafcutting bee). RNAcentral's name for it is "uncharacterized LOC105662044". The record is from RNAcentral. Lineage: Eukaryota; Metazoa; Arthropoda; Insecta; Hymenoptera; Megachilidae.